Molecule: long non-coding RNA, 964 nt
Organism: Eleginops maclovinus (Patagonian blennie)
Lineage: Eukaryota; Metazoa; Chordata; Actinopteri; Perciformes; Eleginopidae
Exons: 4
Source: RefSeq, a predicted model, not a curated record
ACAGAAAGUAAAAGCUUCCAAGACCAAAACAUAGCAUUACCGAUAAAUGACAGAGGCUGAUGAGUCACGUAACAACUAUACUAUAACUUCGAUUAUAACAAUAAAAACAUGACAAAGAUCUUCUCACAUGAAACCGGAAACACCCUUGGGUUUCAUGAGGAGUUUCUUAAAAAGCUCACCAAGAGAGGUGCAAAGCAAGUGGACCAAUCUGAUAAAGCUAAAGCUAUUAUUGUCUUCUGCCCACUUGUCAGUCGUUAUGAGACCGACGUUCUCUCAGCUUUAGCCAGCAUCCCAGAAUCAAAAUGUGAGACUGUGAUUCUGGUGGUGAUGCAUCACACGUCCAACAAAGACCAGACUCUACCGCCGCACAGAGACCUGGGCAGCCGGGCACUCGCUCUCCACGUGGACUGUCUGUUUCAUGAGCAAUUGGGACUUCUUAAGUGCCCCAUCAAUAAAAGUGCAAUCAAGAUGGUCCGCCAAAAGCUGAAACUUCGUUCACUUUCCCUUCCAGGAAAGAAAAAAAAGAACAAGUCGAUCCAACAGAAGGACCGACAACUUAAUCAAAGCAAUUAAGAAGUAGGGUGAUCAAAAGUUAAACACUGAAAAAAGAUCUCAAAUAUCUACGUUCCAAAUAUUGUUGUACCUACUUUCUUCGCUGAUUAUGUUGAUUAUUGCUUUGAAUUUUUAAAAAAACGAAUAAGUACAAUUAAUAAUGUUGGACUGUAGAGAACGUGCAUUUCAACCAUGGCUUUUCAGUCUUAAACAUGAAUGUGAUUUGUAAUUUAUUCUCUUUUUUCAUUUUCAUGUUGGUUCAACAUGUGCUGCCUGCUUUUAAUAUAUGCAGUGUGCUUAAGUGAUCUUUGGUCUUCUUGAUGUUGCACUUUGUUACUCAUUAGAUGCUUAUUAAGAAUGUAGGAUCAAUUAUGGCUUGUAUAUUCCAGAAUAAAGCAAUCUUAUACUCUGA